GCCCGGGUGGUGAAAUUGGUAGACACAACGGACUUAAAAUCCGUCGCUAGGGUAAAACCAGCGUACCGGUUCGAUUCCGGUUCCGGGCACCA
Molecule: transfer RNA, 92 nt
Filed under: Candidatus Gallionella acididurans
Lineage: Bacteria; Pseudomonadati; Pseudomonadota; Betaproteobacteria; Nitrosomonadales; Gallionellaceae
Also listed under: 5 other names
Description: tRNA-Leu
Rfam family: tRNA
About the family: Transfer RNA (tRNA) molecules are approximately 80 nucleotides in length. Their secondary structure includes four short double-helical elements and three loops (D, anti-codon, and T loops). Further hydrogen bonds mediate the characteristic L-shaped molecular structure. tRNAs have two regions of fundamental functional importance: the anti-codon, which is responsible for specific mRNA codon recognition, and the 3' end, to which the tRNAs corresponding amino acid is attached (by aminoacyl-tRNA synthetases). tRNAs cope with the degeneracy of the genetic code in two manners: having more than one tRNA (with a specific anti-codon) for a particular amino acid; and 'wobble' base-pairing, i.e. permitting non-standard base-pairing at the 3rd anti-codon position.
Source: RNAcentral